RNAcentral lists this ribosomal RNA (300 nucleotides) under uncultured Vibrionaceae bacterium. RNAcentral describes it as "bacterial SSU rRNA". It matches the Rfam family "Bacterial small subunit ribosomal RNA", at positions 115 to 419 of the family's 1533-position model. The record is from RNAcentral. Lineage: Bacteria; Pseudomonadati; Pseudomonadota; Gammaproteobacteria; Vibrionales; Vibrionaceae.
GCCUAGGAAAUUGCCUUGAUGUGGGGAUAACCAUUGGAAACGAUGGCUAAUACCGCAUAAUGCCUACGGGCCAAAGAGGGGGACCUUCGGGCCUCUCGCGUCAAGAUAUGCCUAGGUGGGAUUAGCUAGUUGGUGAGGUAAUGGCUCACUAAGGCGACGAUCCCUAGCUGGUCUGAGAGGAUGAUCAGCCACACUGGAACUGAGACACGGUCCAGACUCCUACGGGAGGCAGCAGUGGGGAAUAUUGCACAAUGGGCGAAAGCCUGAUGCAGCCAUGCCGCGUGUAUGAAGAAGGCCUUC